Molecule: long non-coding RNA, 344 nt
Organism: Mesocricetus auratus (golden hamster)
Lineage: Eukaryota; Metazoa; Chordata; Mammalia; Rodentia; Cricetidae
Exons: 2
Source: RefSeq, a predicted model, not a curated record
CCCAGAAGCAAAUUAAGGACAAACACCACAGAGGCUACAUACAGACCGCAGCCUUCUACAAGAUGGAACUCUUACUUGCAGAUGGCAAGAAUCUUAGGCAUCGUGAAGACAACCAAGAAGCUGAGGGGAAAGACAAACCCAGACCAAAACCAAAGUGAGCUAUCUGGACAUCCUGUGACAUCCUAUCUUGCAAAGGAACCAUCUGCUGUGCCUGCGGGACACCAAGCUAGUCUCUGGACAUGUGCCUCCCAACCUGCUGCCAUGUCCUAAUGCAGUGGCUAUGCCUUGUGAUGCUGGCAGCAAUGGUACACUAAGAACGAAACAGCAUGUGAGUGUGGGAAGCA